RNAcentral lists this transfer RNA (70 nucleotides) under Alcalus tasanae (Tasan eastern frog). RNAcentral's name for it is "tRNA-Val". Lineage: Eukaryota; Metazoa; Chordata; Amphibia; Anura; Ceratobatrachidae. The record is from RNAcentral.
CAAAAUGUAACUUAAUUUAAAGUCCCCCGCUUACACCGGGGAAAUAUCUGCUUGACCCAGAUCAUUUUGA